Molecule: ribosomal RNA, 484 nt
Filed under: uncultured bacterium
Lineage: Bacteria
Description: partial 16S ribosomal RNA
Rfam family: Bacterial small subunit ribosomal RNA
Source: RNAcentral
AGUGAACGCUGGCGGCAGGCCUAACACAUGCAAGUCGAGCGGCAGCGGGUCCUUCGGGCUGCCGGCGAGCGGCGGACGGGUGAGGAAUGCAUCGGAAUCUGCCCUGUCGUGGGGGAUAACCUAGGGAAACUUAGGCUAAUACCGCAUACGACCCGCGGGUGAAAGCGGGGGAUCGCAAGACCUCGCGCGAUAGGAUGAGCCGAUGUCCGAUUAGCUAGUUGGCGGGGUAAAGGCCCACCAAGGCGACGAUCGGUAGCUGGUCUGAGAGGAUGAUCAGCCACACUGGGACUGAGACACGGCCCAGAGUCCUACGGGAGGCAGCAGUGGGGAAUAUUGGACAAUGGGCGCAAGCCUGAUCCAGCCAUGCCGCGUGGGUGAAGAAGGCCUUCGGGUUGUAAAGCCCUUUUGUCCGGGAAGAAAUCGUCUGGGCUAAUACCCCGGGCGGAUGACGGUACCGGAAGAAUAAGCACCGGCUAACUUCGUG